CGGACGGGGUGAGUAAUGUCUGGGAAACUGCCUGAUGGAGGGGGGUAACUACUGGAAACGGUAGCUAAUACCGCAUAACGUCGCAAGACCAAAGAGGGGGACCUUAGGGCCUCUUGCCAUCGGAUGUGCCCAGAUGGGAUUAGCUUGUUGGUGGGGUAACGGCUCACCAAGGCGACGAUCCCUAGCUGGUCUGAGAGGAUGACCAGCCACACUGGAACUGAGACACGGUCCAG
RNAcentral lists this ribosomal RNA (233 nucleotides) under uncultured bacterium. RNAcentral describes it as "partial 16S ribosomal RNA". It matches the Rfam family "Bacterial small subunit ribosomal RNA", at positions 104 to 334 of the family's 1533-position model. The record is from RNAcentral.